Lycium barbarum (goji berry) is the source of this 929-nucleotide long non-coding RNA. RefSeq lists it as uncharacterized. The transcript is spliced from 2 exons. NCBI's taxonomy places the organism in Eukaryota, Viridiplantae, Streptophyta, Magnoliopsida, Solanales, Solanaceae. The record is from RefSeq and is a predicted model, not a curated record.
CUCUUUAUCUAGAGGUUUUUGUUUAAAUUCAAACUAACCCUGAUUAUAAAUUCUUCCUUUUUUAGGAGGUGAUUGUUCAAGCUCAUUUAACAACAAAGUGAAAGUGAAGAACAUUGCUCUCUUGAUGGCUGUUCCCUACUUCACCUAGAUGGCCAAACUGCUGAUAUUGGCAUGGUGGAGCUGCUUCUGCAGCAUGGUUAUUGGUGCCAGCAUAAAUGCUUGUGAUUCAUGAGGUCAGACCCCACUGCAUCAUAGUCUUAUGAGAGGAAGAACUGCAAUUGCCAACUGUUACUUGCGAGAGGAUUUCGUUUGAAUCACACAUUGCUGAUCUUGAAGUCAAGACCCCUUGUCUCAGAAUUAGCCCUCGAUGAGGUGGAGAAUUUUGCCCUCCUGAAAGGAGCAAACGGAUAACACCAGCACAAAAGUCACUCUGAGCUAGAAGUUCCACGUCCCAAAAAGCAACGAAGGUCUAAGUUAUCAGGGAAAACAGCUUGCUCAGUCCAGGUUAUUUGUUAUGCCAAAGGACAUUUUAAUAUGUGCAAGCCUCAUGGAAUGAAAGAAUUUAUUGAUCUCUUUGGGUCGGCAAAGUGGAGCCAAGAAUUGAUAUAAACACAAGAGGGCCAAGUUACAGCGGAUAGUUUGUUUGCAUGUCUCUCCUCAAAAGGGUUUGUAGAGCUCUGCAUAAAUCGGUGCUGUUAUAUAGUGUUUUUAUCCCUCAGUUUCUUCUCUCUAAUUCUUUGCACAUCAUACCGAAUUAGGUGUACAUUGAUUUGUUCCGGCUUCUAGUUUCAAUUUUCCAUAGAGUGGUUUCUUUUUUUCAUUCCCUUUUUAUCUUCUAUGUUCCUUGUUUAUUUUUUUUCCGAUUCUCGGUGAGGUCAAAUUUUGGUGGAGACUUGAUGUUAAAGCAGAAAAUAUAAGAAAUUUUAGCA